Long non-coding RNA from Anolis sagrei ordinatus, 296 nucleotides. RefSeq lists it as uncharacterized. Lineage: Eukaryota; Metazoa; Chordata; Lepidosauria; Squamata; Anolidae. The record is from RefSeq and is a predicted model, not a curated record.
UUUCUGCGUGCUGGGAGGACUGCCAGAGCAGCUUAAUAAAUAAUAAUAAAAAUAGUCAUAGGUGACUUUGAGGCUAAGGACACUUGCAAGCAGCUCAUUUGUAAGCAUGAGAGGAGAAAUUGGUGCAGACCUCUCCAGGAAGCAAACGUUUGGCCAGCAAUAUAACUGACUUUCAGCUAUUGGCAAAGGGUAACUACCAUACAGAGUGCAACAUUCAGAGGACAGCAUGGCACAAGAUUGCCCUGCAUUUAGCAUUUGCAUCCUCCAAGACAGCCAAAAAAACAUCAAUAGCAGGG